Molecule: small nucleolar RNA, 107 nt
Organism: Dioscorea cayenensis subsp. rotundata (Guinea yam)
Lineage: Eukaryota; Viridiplantae; Streptophyta; Magnoliopsida; Dioscoreales; Dioscoreaceae
Source: RefSeq, a predicted model, not a curated record
AACCCAUGUUGAGAACAUUUCCGCAUGAGAUCCUUGAACCUAUCCCAUGUCUCAAAAAGAGACUCCAAUUCCAUUUCUACAAAAGAUGAUAUUUCAUUCCUAUGCUU